Molecule: ribosomal RNA, 407 nt
Filed under: Rhizobium leguminosarum
Lineage: Bacteria; Pseudomonadati; Pseudomonadota; Alphaproteobacteria; Hyphomicrobiales; Rhizobiaceae
Description: bacterial SSU rRNA
Rfam family: Bacterial small subunit ribosomal RNA
Source: RNAcentral
GGCUCAGAACGAACGCUGGCGGCAGGCUUAACACAUGCAAGUCGAGCGCCCCGCAAGGGGAGCGGCAGACGGGUGAGUAACGCGUGGGAAUCUACCCUUGACUACGGAAUAACGCAGGGAAACUUGUGCUAAUACCGUAUGUGUCCUUCGGGAGAAAGAUUUAUCGGUCAAGGAUGAGCCCGCGUUGGAUUAGCUAGUUGGUGGGGUAAAGGCCUACCAAGGCGACGAUCCAUAGCUGGUCUGAGAGGAUGAUCAGCCACAUUGGGACUGAGACACGGCCCAAACUCCUACGGGAGGCAGCAGUGGGGAAUAUUGGACAAUGGGCGCAAGCCUGAUCCAGCCAUGCCGCGUGAGUGAUGAAGGCCCUAGGGUUGUAAAGCUCUUUCACCGGAGAAGAUAAUGACGGU